RNAcentral lists this transfer RNA (67 nucleotides) under Urocitellus parryii (Arctic ground squirrel). RNAcentral describes it as "Spermophilus parryii (Arctic ground squirrel) tRNA". It matches the Rfam family "tRNA". Rfam says of the family: Transfer RNA (tRNA) molecules are approximately 80 nucleotides in length. The record is from Rfam by way of RNAcentral. Lineage: Eukaryota; Metazoa; Chordata; Mammalia; Rodentia; Sciuridae. RNAcentral also lists the same sequence under 2 other names.
GGUUGUGGCUCAGUGGUACAGCACUUGCCUAGCAUGUUAGAGGCCCUGGGUUUGAUUCUCAGCACCA